Long non-coding RNA from Xiphophorus couchianus (Monterrey platyfish), 1977 nucleotides. RefSeq lists it as uncharacterized. NCBI's taxonomy places the organism in Eukaryota, Metazoa, Chordata, Actinopteri, Cyprinodontiformes, Poeciliidae. The record is from RefSeq and is a predicted model, not a curated record. The transcript has 2 exons.
CGUUGUGUAAAAGAUGGAGCAACUUAUUCUCAGUCCCACACUGCUCGGAUUGAAAUUAUAGGUUAUUCUUUCUUUAAACAAAGUUGUGGUCUCAGUUACAUUCACUAAACUCCUACAGCUCAUUUCAACAGCCAGCGCAGAUUGUAACAGGUGACAAGCCGGGAAAAAACUGAAAAUGUCGGCCUUAACAGAACAACAGAUGGAGGAGCACAACAGGAUAUUCCCACUAAGAGGAUUCCUGUUUCUUUGCCUGUCACUGUGGACUUUUUUUUGCAGGCAUAAAGUCUUUCAUCGUAACCCAGCUCGACUGGCUCACUGGACCUGAUGUAGAGUUGCUGGAUAAGCCCUGCGAAACCCGCUAGUAUGCAUGUUGACCUGCUUGGCAAAUAAAGAACCCUGACGGAGUGCGCCGUGAAUAACAUUGAAUUAAUGACUCAGGUGGGAUUAGAAAGUCCCGGUUGUAUCUUGAAUCCCUUAACUGCAAUCUCUUGCUCACAACUCAAAGGUACGUGCCAGGAGUCUGUGUUUGAGUGGCCAGGUGUCAGAUUUCAUUCUAUUUUUAGAAUGAAAUUAUUACUGUUACAGAGGCACUUUUUGUUCAAUUAACACAGACAGUAACUAAUUUUAAAUUGGAAACAGUUUUAAAGAUAGGUCAAAAUUUCAAUUAUUUUAAUAUAACCAUAUAAAAUGAAUACAAUUCUGAUGAGUCUUAAAGUACCUAAAAAAUGAAAAUCAGUUUUUAGUUACAAAGUUUAUUAAAAAAGCAAUAGACUGUAUUUUUUUUAAAAAACAUGAUGUCUUUGUUCAAAAUCUGACCUCUGUUGGAGGAACCAGAGUCUGCGAUGCAAGCAAAUACAGUUCAGUUUGGAAACUUUGAUUCAGUCUAUAAAAAUUUCACAUCAUUCAUGAAAUAUUUACAGAACUUUUCUUCCCAUCGCUGAUAAUGUUUGUUAGAAAAGUGCAGUAGUUUUUUUCUAUCUUUCACAAACUGCUAAAAAAGAGAAGAGUGUGUUUUGGUCCUUUAUGUUUUCUGUGCAAGGAGGCAGUUUGACAUGUUUUCGCUGUGUGUAUUGCUUCUUACAAUUCAACUCAGGGACUUUUUUUAAUAUGUUUUUGCUGUAAAUGAUUUGUAUAAUGUAUUAGUCAGAAGCUUGUCAUUUGGAAGAUAAAGUAUUUUUUUAUGUUUGUUCAAGGAGGAAAUGCCUUUAAUUCAAAUAGAUUUUCAGAAUCACUGCUCGGUUUCAGGUCUCCAUGCUUUCCUAUUCAUUGCUUGGUCUCGUGUAUCAAUUCAAAUAGAAGUUUAUUAUUAUGGUAUGAUUUACAUUUAGUGAACUUAUUUGAUUAACAUUUCACUCAUUGUUUAUUAAAAAUAUUGUAGUGUUUUUAUGAUUUUGCACACAAAAAAAGCAUUUAAACAUAAAUGAUAGAGCCUGUCAGGCUUGCAGAUUCCAGGAAAGAGCUAAUAAAAACCCUACAUCUAUUUAGUGAUUUUGCGGUGUGUGGAAAGAAAAAAAAUGGUUAAUUUAAUUUGGUUUCUGCAGAAUUUUACCACUUUAUUGUGGUUUCUUUGUGCUAACCUCAACCUUGGGAGGAAACGGGGUGAGAAACUGUGAAUCUCCAGGGGGAGCCUUUAUAUUUGGUCUUGUAUUUUUUUGAAAAUGAAAUUACAUUGCAACCUGAUCUGUUUCAGACCUCGGUGUGUUUUUUUAAAUUUCUUCCUGUAGGCUCAAGAAAGAGUGUUUAUUUUUCAUAAAGACUCUCUUACUGGCCUCUGUAUUCCUUAUCAUUUGAAUAUCUGACAUAUUAUACCAUAGCAGAAAGUACUUUCCUGUAUAUGUUGUAGCAUGUCAGUGCAGAGUAAACCAGAUGGUUUUACAAGAUUUGAUACACUUUAUGCCAUAAUCACAUGAUCUGUGUGCUUUGAGGUGUUCUUGGUGUAAUUUUAAAUCAUUAAGUAAACAUGUUUUCUGCAGAUAA